GGCCUUGUAACCCUUUACAAAAGAACAUUGAAAUUUGCGGUAUGUCUUUGUUCUUUGUGAUUCAUCUUGUAAGUUUUACCUUAUACACUAUAUUACUCCAUCUUUUUUUGUUUUUUUCCCCAAGUUUGGGUCUUAUGUUUGACUCAAUUUGCUGUAUGAUGUGGUAACUUUUUGCUACAUUUCAUAUGGUACUGCUAUUCGUUCUCUCUCUCUCUCUCUAUCUCUCUCUCUCCCUCUCUCUCUCUUGUUUUUGUUUUGUUUUGUUUUAACUCUUCAACAUUGGCCUCCAAGUCAGCCUGCGACUGGUUUCUCUGUGGGACUCCAUGAGACGGUUAAAUUUGUUGCUCCUCCUGAGGAGGGGUUUGUGGAGCUUCCGCUUACAUCUUCUCUUGAAGAGGCAACAACUGAAUUAGCUUAUGGACCCUUACACAACUGGUGUAGGCUGACAUUUGUAAAUUGUAUUGAGGAGGCAUGAUUUUUCCAGCUUGCAUAGAAAGUAUAGUAAUAUUUGGACAUUGAAAACAGAUUUCUGGGCAAGACAAGCCCUCAAUGAACUUGCCUACGGUAAGUUCCUCUCACAAACCGAGGCCUCACCCUGUAGCGUAUAACGAAACGGGCGUUUCUCCAGAUUCCAUGAGGUUAUCAACAUCAUGCAGGUUUCAAGAUCACCAAGUAAACUAUUCACAAGGUGAUGCAUACUUUCAAGACAUCAUUGCGUUUAGAAACCCUCGUAUUUAAUAUUUACAACUUCUUCUGUUUUUGUGUUUAACAAAAUUUGCUUUCUUAUUCAGUGCGUGUCACUCCUGGUGUGUCUGUAAACCAGCCAAAUGGGUAUAGAUCCAAUUAUGACAACAAUGAUUAUGAGCAUUCUAAUGGAUAUAGAUCACAUUAUAACAGCAACAAUUAUGAUUACAGUCGAAGAGUGUUUGGGGCAGCAUUGGAUAAUAUUAAUCGCUCUAGGUUGGGCCGAUAUGAUACACGUGAUUCUACCAGUUAUUAUGCCACGUAUUGAUUUAUAAGAUAGGUGGAUACCAACUAUAACUUUUCAGGUAUGAAGCAAUGUUGCAGCUAUGAUAAUUCGGGUAGCAAAGUAGAAGGUUGUAUAUGUAUAGCUCAUGUUUAUGAUUUUAGCAUUUGUGUGUAUCUGCAUCUAUGGUGUUUGUGUUUUACCUUUGCACUUGUGAAACCUGAAUUUCUUGGAACUUUAUGUUGUUGUAGCAACGAGGUCAUUUCUAUGUUUGUACUUUGAAAUUGGAGAUCCUAGUAGUGAUAAUCAGUUGUAAUCAUUCAAUGGAUGACUUAUUCUCUUCUGUUUUAUUCUUUUUUAUUUCUGAACUGUAAUUUGCUGUUAUCCUGUAUGAUAGCUUAACAUAUAUGGCAUAUUUUUUUUUUUAAAAGUCUGAUUAUAUUACUCUGGAGAUAUGCCCUUUAGAUUUGGAAAAGAUUUUCCCUCUCAUUUAGUGAUUCUCCUUAAUGGAGCAACUUUUGUGGAACAAGCACGCACAAAUUCCUUUUCAAGUGUAAAGCUGGGGAUGAGUGUCAGGUACCAUAUGGCGUACCUGAUAAGUUUAUUCUCCGUAGAACUUGUGAUCUGUUGCAUUAACUGGAAAUCCAAGGUACUAUUUUUUGGCUGAAUCACUCCAGAAAUUAAUGUAUUAUUUUCAAGUAUGGGAAAAGAGCAGAGUUGAGCAGACGAGCAUUGUUCCUAUCAUGUACAAUUAGAUUGUUCAGUAUGCAUUUGUUCAUGUGUGCAACAUGUCGAGAUCAGUUGGUUUACUAGGAUUCUGUUUCUUGGUAACUGCUUUACGUUUUCAUUCUGAUUUGGUCUCGGGAAUCUGUGAUAUCUAUCUCGUCGUUUGAUUGUGUAGCUGCGUGCUGUAUAAGAAGCUUCAUUGCUUUUGGUUGUUUUGGGGCUUGUAAAAGUAAAAUUACCAAUCUGUUUGUUUUGGCAAAUGGGAAAGAUUUUUGGAACUUUUUAAUUAUACGUUGUUUUAUAGGCUUGCAGUCAAAUCUUGGUUUGGCUUCAGUAGAGCAGGAUUUUCUAGUCUGCUCCUUGCAAGAGGCCUGUAUUUGUCAUGAAAAUAGUUGAGGCUUGCUCUUGUACUGGCCAUAGCGAAUAACAACUGAUAAUUUAAAGCAUGCACUUGCAAUAUGUUUUCCCGUUUCUCACUGCAUUCCUUGCGCUUUUGUUCUUGCCCUACCCCUGCCCCUUCCUUCGACUUUCUUUUCAUGUUGUGGAGUCAGACGAAUGGAGGAGCAACUUUUGUGAUGUAAGAUGAUGUCCAUGGUUCUCAUUGUAGAGAAAAUUACAGAAAUAAUUGCUUGUGCUCUUAAAAAUCAUGUGCUUGCUAACGUUGCUCAGCAGGGGAUUAGUGGUCUAAUGCAAUCGUAGCUAGUUGGUUCCACCAGGUUUCCAUAAUUUGCCGGGUCAGUUUUUUGAUAUUCCAGGGUCUGAAUUCUGAUGCAGGCAAAAUAAAAUACUAUGGUUAAAAAGAAAAAAAAAGGACACAAAUUCUUCUACAAUUUAGAGAUGGGAUAAUAUGAAAUUGGGGAAAUAUGGAAGUGUAUGGGGUAAAAACUGAGAACUCAUAAUUACAAAGAGAAAUUCUCUUAAUGAACGCGAGUAAAAAUUAUCAACUGAAGAACUGGGCGUGGUUGUUGCGAGAGUGAACGCGACAUAUCCUAUUGGACGCGGGAGGAGGAACCGUAAUGUAAAACAUGUUCCUGUGUCUAUGGACUCGAUCAUCAUCAGUGAUUUCCGUAACCUUUUUAUCAGCCGCAUCGACACUUUCCAUCUUCAAUGGUACAGCCCCCGUGUACCAUACAAAAUCAAAUUUUAUGCCCUGACAGGACCGAAAACGUAUCGCUUGUACAAACUAAACAAAGCACUUGCUUUUUUUUUUUUUAAAAUUUUCCUAAUAGGAAGGGAUGAGAUUUAAGAUACAAAAAUGAGAAAGAAAGUUCUCAGAGAGAUUCUGACCUCAAUCUAUUUCAAAGCAAUAGCUUCGCUCGCAGGAAAAUGUUUUUAUAUGCUAACUGAAUACAAUUAAGCACACGUUUACUAUCUUUAUUUCUAAGUGAGAACUAAACGGGUGGUUGUUACUAAUGCUCAAUUCAAAAAUAAAAUAAUAAAGGGCAAUACCCAAUAUUCAGGUAGAGGUGGCAAUGGGUAGGGUAAUAUUUGAUACUUGUCCGAUAAUUAAUUCGAUUAGACGAUCGAUGGGUAAUCCGUUAGGAUUUGAUAUUGAUGAGAGGUAUUCGAUGGAUAAUCCGAUAGAGUUUGAUAAGAGAACUCUAAAAACUUGAAACUCGACAUAAAUACACGCAGAUAUAGUAGCAAUCUUUUCUACACAGACACUUAAUGAUCUUUUUAUAUUAAUAGCUUUGAAUGUAUGCAGUGAUUUUUUUUUUUUUUAACACUAACAUCUUUGAGUGAUUUUUUUUUUUCACACUAACAUCUUUGAAUGUAUGUUGCGUAUGUAUGAUGGCAUUUUCAUGUAGGUUACUCUCACGUAGGUUAUAUAUAUGACCCUACCAAAAUUUAAGAAUUCAAUUUAAUGUGUUGAUUAAAUAUUAUGUAUGUUUUAAUUUUAAUUUGAUAAUAGUUAAUUACCUUUUUCUCAAUUGUUCAAAUUAGCCGGGAGAGGAUAGCCCAUCAAUAAUGCAAACUCGAGAGCGAGAGAGUUUGGCAAUGAAAGUUAAAAUCUGUAAAGUUACCCGACGUGAUUGGUAAAAAAAUUUAGAUGUAUGGGUUUGAGUUUGACGAGGAAUGUUUUAAGGACAUGCGACCCGCUGCCAUCCCAGGCUUCAACCGAGCGAUUCCGCACAAAAGCACAAAUGAUGCAAUAGCAGGUAGUGUCUCUCAAGAAACAACAGAAUAUCUCUAAGCUUGAUGAUCUUUUUUACGCUUGAUUGAGCUGAUAUGAUGAAGGCAAGGCUGCAUUCUGUAGCAGGUCAUCUGAAUAGAAGAGGUCAACAGGAUGUCUUUCAGCUGAAUUUAAAGAUAACCCAGCUAGCCAAAAGAGGUGACAUUGAUGAGGCCGUCAGAGUAUUCAACGCAAUAGCACAUCCCAACGCUGUCACUUACAACUCGAUGAUCUCCGCCUAUGCUAAGAAUGGAAGAAUCAGUGAGGCUUGUGCUCUAUUUAAUCGAAUGCCAUUUAAGAACUUGAUUUCCUGGAACACAAUGAUGAGCGGUUACUUGUAUAAUGACUAUUUUAAAGAAGCAGCUGACUUAUUUGAUAAAAUGCGUCGAAGGGACUCUUUUACUUACAGUCUCAUGAUUACUUGUUAUGCACGUAGCGGUUUCGUAGAAAAAGCAAGGCGAAUAUUUGAUUCGAUGCCCGAUAAGAGUUGUGCAGCGUGUUGGAAUGCACUGAUUACAGGGUAUGUCAAGAAUGGGAUGCUCAGCGAUGGUAGGAAAUUGUUCAAUGAAAUGCCAGUGAGGAACUUGGUUUCGUGGAAUACAAUGCUCUCCGGAUAUACCCGUAGCGGGCAAAUGUGUUUGGCUGCUAAGUUUUUCGAAGUGAUGGAAGAAAAGGAUUGGGUUUCGUGGAAUUUGGUGUUAGAAGGGUACACGCAAGCUGGUGAUCUGCAUGCUGCUAGGGAGUUUUUUGAAAGGAUUCCCAAUCCAAGUGUUGUUUCUUGGGCCACAAUGUUGAGUGGCUUAGCAAGGCAUGGCCACCUUUCAGAGGCAGAGGGAUUCUUUAACAACAUGACGGAGAGAAAUGUUGUUGCUUGGAAUGUGAUGUUGGCUGCAUACAUUCAGAAUUGCAAGGUUGACAAGGCAGUAGAGUUAUUUAAUGAGAUGCCAGAGAAGGAUGCUAUAUCAUGGACUACCAUCAUCAGUGGUCAUGUCCGAAUUGGUCAGCUUGAAGAAGCAAAGAAAUUGUUGGAUAGAAUGCCUUAUGAAAAUGUAGGGUCACAAACAGCCAUGAUACUUGGCUUUAUUCAGAACAAUAGGAUGGAUGACGCCCGUCAAAUUUUUGAUCGCAUGAGGAAACGUGACACUGUCUGUUGGAACACGAUGAUCGCGGGAUAUGCUCAACAUGGAAGAAUGGAUGAAGCUUUCGAUCUAUUUCAAAAUAUGGCCCCAAAGAAAAUAGAUACUUGGAACACCAUGAUUGCGGGCUAUGCUCAAGUAGGAAAAAUGGAGAGAGCACUUGAGUUGCUUGAGCAAAUUGAGGAAAAGAAUGUAGUUUCUUGGAAUUCCAUAAUUUCAGGUUAUGCACAAAAUGGGUUAUACAUGGAUGCACUCAAGAGUAUUUUACUCAUGAUUCGUGAUGGAAAGAAGCCUGAUCAAUCUACUUUUGCUUCUGGCCUAAGGGUCUGUGCGAGUCUUGCAGCUGAGCAAUUUGGGCAGCAACUUCAUCACAUUGUGGUGAAAAAUGGUUAUAUGAAAGAUAUGCUUGUCAGUAAUGCUCUAAUUACGAUGUAUGCCAAGUGUGGAAGUAUCUUGAGUGCCAGAGAUGUAUUCAGUGAUGUUGAUAACCUUGACGUGGUAUCCUGGAAUUCUUUGAUAGCGGGCUAUGCUCUAAAUGGAUAUGGGAUAGAGGCAUUCAAACUUUUCCAAGAAAUGGAAGGAUAUGCUGUCAAUCCUGAUCAAGUUACUUUUGUUGGGGUUCUUUCUGCAUGUAAUCAUGCAGGCUUAGUUUCUGCAGGUCUAACCUUGUUCAAUUGCAUGACGCAGAAGUAUGGCAUUGAACCUUUGGCUGAACAUUAUACUUGCAUGGUCGAUAUGCUUGGCAGAGCAGGAAGGUUAGAGGAAGCCUUUGAGUUAGUCAGGAAAAUGAAGGUCCAAGCCACUGCAGGAAUAUGGGGUGCUCUUCUUGGGGCUUGUCGCUUGCAUAAAAAUGUGAUGCUUGCUGAUUUUGCUGCUAGGAAGCUUUUUGAAAUUGAACCUCAUAAAACAUCAAGUUUAGUGCUUCUCUCAAAUGUUUAUGCUCAGUCAGGGAGGUGGGAUGAGGUCGAUAGAGUUAGAAAUUUCUUGAAUCAGAAUGGCAUUGAAAAGGAGCCAGGAUGCAGCUGGAUUGAGGAUCAAUGCCAGAUAUCGGUCUUUCAAUCUGAUGAUUAUUCAUGGCCAAAAACAGCAGAGAUGUAUAGGGCAUUACAGAUUUUAACAACACAGAUUAUGGAGCUUUCCUGUUUAAAUAGUAUUGAGUGUACUCUUCUUGAUGUUGGAUGAUUUAUUUCAUCACAUGCAUCAAAUAAAGCUUUAGCGGUACUUCAAAAUGCCUUCCUGCAAAUUCACUUGUUCAGGCUCUUUUUGGUACUCGUUGAGAACUAUCUUGGCUUUGCAUGCAUGAAGAUGAUAUUGGUACUUGCUUAGGUAUUGUUCUAAUAAUCUUGUACUUACUAUUUGGAAGAUAUUUGGUGCUAAUAUCCAAUACUGGGGAUGUUAUAUUGCAUGAAACUCUUGAAUGCUACUGCUUAAACUUCAACUGCAGAAAAAGCAGUAGGCUUCAGAAAAUAGCUGACAGCACCCACCUCCUUGCCACUUCCUCGUUUUCUUCUCCUGAAAUCCUCUUUUCAUGUAGUUAAGUAUUUUCAGAAUUUAUAUUUGUUUCCCUUUAUUUAAAAAAAAUUGUUUCCCUUUUGCGUUCAUUGUCUGUUAAAAUUUCUUGCUGAUUUUAAUUGUGUAGAUAGAACUGCCAGAUGGAUUCAAUAAUGGAGCAAAGCUUCUGGUGAAUUUAGAUCUGAAUAUGUUUCUCGUCUUUGUGACUCUUAUAGUAUUUUUAAGUUCUUCAUCUAGAGCACAAAUAGAUGUACAUAUUAAAUGAGAUGAAGCAGUUCAGAGAUGCUUAGAUUACUUUCAAAUUUUAAAAUUUAACUAAGCGGUGACCCAUUUCAUGUCUCAUGAAUGUAGAUCCUACAUGUGAGUAGAGUUGUAUGGUACCAUCUGAGGAUGAUCCUGUCAUGAGCUAAUUCAGAAGUUUGGCACACAGGAAAUUUAACAUCUGUAAGUGCUGUAAAUUCCACGUUUACUUGCACUUUUUCCAUCUCCAUAUAUGGUUUAACUGCUUUUAGUUUCGAAAACUCAUACUAUCAUAAACCUAACUAUGAAAAUGAUGCUAAAAUAGAACAAGCUCCCAAUAAGCCACGAAUACUACAAUAGGUUACCUGUUUACAUCACAUAAUUGAUAUUCCAUUUACAUCUGAAGACAAAUUACGAAAGGAGCCUACAUUUGAUUUCUUAUUUGUAUUACAUUUUCUUGAAACAGGACACAUAUUCAACACGAAUUAUUAUUCUGAUGGAGCUAGUCACAAACUCUAAAUUGACGAGUGACUAAUGAGGCUAUCAAAAUCAACCUACCGCUAGAUCCCAACCCCAUAUGCAUGAACAGACAAAUAUAAGACACGUGAAGCAAAAGAUAAGAGUGUGUAGAACACGGUGAAUGUCAGAUUCAAUGUAAGACAUGUGAAGCCCUGUAUCUCAGGGCUUGGUAAAGCUCUGUAUCUUUAAAGGACUUUGCAAUAUGAAGUUCUUCAUGCUCAUUUUGUAUUAUAAUAGUAUUAUUGUUUGAAACUUUCCUUUUGGGAAAUUAUGCAGGAGAAAGCUGUACUAAAUUCCUGUUUAGAGAGCCUCUUAAUACAAGAAUAUUGUAAUCUUUCAGGUACCAAAAACUCUUUGAUUAGUAGUUAUGCCUUUGGGUCACUUCAUAUUGACUUAACAAUUCAGCGUAAUUAUGAAUUAUGAACUCUUUUGAUCAAUCUUGACACAAAUGUCAACUUCUAAACGUGUAUGUCUGGAUAGUAAUUCAACUACCUGAUGUAAAUGAAUGCAUUUACUAAGAAUGACUUUCGGUAGUUCUAUGUAUGAUCUUUAUCUUAGUUAAAAGCUGCUCCACUUUGAAUUUGAUUACCUUCUGUAGUAUUACUAAUACUAUUGACUUCUUCUGCAUGUCCAGAAAUUUUUUUAAUGCAAAUUUAUUGAUAGAUGUUUACAUAAGGAAGUAACAUAUCAUUCUGAUGAACUGGGAGGGAAGACUAGUGUGAGAAGGUUGUUCUUUGACCUUCUUAACACUGUACUAUUAACUGUGUAUACGUAGUAUUUGAUCUUCGCAACGUUAUGGUUUUGCCAUAGUUUUCAUUUUAGUACAAGAAACUCGAUGAUUCUACUAUGUCAACAACAAAAAUUUGUGUGCACACUUUCUUAUUGCAGUUCUGGUGAAUUAAUGUUGGCAAUAGGUCAGAUUUUGUUGUUUGAGUUUUUCAAUGACUACCUUACUGAGACUCAGCAGAAAUUUGAUGACCUGAGUAUGGUGUUUAUGAUCAACUGGUAUUGCAGUUCAAUAUGUAUAUCUCUUUUGGCUCUUGGCUCUGAUCAUCUCUCCCCAGAUCAUGCAAAUUAGGUUUUUACAACGUUCAAACCAUAUGGUUCCAUUUUCGGCGUUUGUUUCUUAGCUGUCCAACUCUUAUGUAACAUAUUUAUUAGUAGACAACUUAGGCUUCUUUGAACAAAUUCAACAACUUAAGUUUCAAGUUCAGCAGUAGCAAGAAUGUCCGUUUUCUGAAACUCAUUUGUUUUGUCGCUCUCUAUCUGAAUGACUGCCCCCCCCCCCCCCCCCCGGCCGCGGGGGAAGAGAAGAAAAGAAAAGAAAAGAGAAACAAGAGUUUGGAAUAGGUAAUUCUGCAGAGAACUGCUUAUAAACUAUCCACUGAACUCCAACACCAUUUUCUGCACAUUAUCCACUAAAUACCAAGACGAUCAUCUGUCCAUAGGCAUGCGUCAAGAAUUCAUGAUAUGCCGUUCAAGAAAAGGCAGGCAAUUCAAUCAAGUUAAAUAACUUAUCCACAAUGCUAUUAUAUAAUAUUUUCCCAAAAAAAAUUUUUUUUUGAAUUGAUUCACAAGUUACUGAGAUUUGCAAUGACCUGGACCAAUGCCAAGUUGAUGAGUUGAAGAAAGAUCUGACGUGACAAAGCCAUAUAAUGGAGCGAUCUACGGAACAGCAUCAAGAUGCCCUCGCCUGGUUAAUUCCAGAAUAUUACGCACUGCCUGCAUCUGCAUGAUUUUUCUUUUUUUUGGUACUUAGAAAUUCGCAACGGAUCUUCUGUACCAUACCCUGUCUCACAUCCUGUCCCACUCCUUAAAAUCUCGCCAAGUGUCUAUAAGUUGCUCUGCAUGGAAUAAAUUGUUACAUAUGGCCGAAGAAAGUUUUGAAGGAUUGUUUCUAUUGUAUUUGUAUGCUCUGUCUCUUUGUUCUGGAGAUGUGCAACACCUUCAGCAUCAAAAUUUUUGCAGCAGUUGAUUGGAGUUCUAUUAACUGGUCUAUUGGAUUCUAUCUGGAACUACUUCUGACUAAGGCUCUAACUAGUCCGCUAAUAUAAUUCUUUGACAGGAAUAUGAUGUUGAAGAUUCUCUUUUGCCCCUUCAGCCAGCACUGGACUACACUGCUCCUGAACUUGUUCGAAGUAAAGCAUCUACAGUUGGAUCUGCCUCUGAUAUCUUCAGUUUUGCUUGUCUUGCCUACCACUUGGUUGCUCGAAAACCGUUGUUUAAUUGUCACAACAAUGUCAAAAUGGUAUUUAUCUAAUAUUUCCUGGCGCAAUGAUUUGCACAAUUUAUGGGUGGAGUAGGAGAUUUGAGAUUGUAACAAUGAAUUGCUGUAUGGUUAUAAGAUGACAACAUUACGACUAAAAUAGAUACUCUGCUAAAAUCAAUAAUAGUCUGGUUAAUUGGUCUCUUGAAUGAGAAGUACAGUUGUUUUCCUGUUCUGUUGGAUUAUUCAUUGCUGCCUCAAAAUAGUGUGUAUCUUUAUUAUAGAUGUGUUCAUAUGUUUAAUUUACAUGGUAAUAGCAUAUGUAACUUUUUAUACUAAUGUCCCUAUGCAACUCGAGUGCAGUACAUGAAUACUUUGACAUACUUAUCCAGUGAGGCUUUCUCGUCAAUACCGCGGGACUUGGUUUCGGACUUGCAAAGGAUGCUUUCUUCUAACGAGGCUUUGAGGCCAACAGCAAUGGACUUUACAGGUAAGGAUGUGAUACUAUCUUCGCACACAUAUGCUUUGGUGAUACUGUAUGAGAUGAACAUCUGGGAAGUAGCAUUUUGGGAGAAUUCCUGUCCUAGUUUUCUUUGAAGCUUUUUUGUUUUUGUUUUGGAUGGUUGGGCUAGGGGGAAGAUGGCAGAUACUCCUCUAUAGUAUUUUAACAAGAAAGAGAAACACAAUCUCUAAAUAAUUGUAGGAUGUGAAAAAUAGAUGGAGAGCAUCUGGAAUGUGGUAGUAAAAUGGUCUUUUUGUCUUUGUGGUUGUAAGUUAAUGAGGCUUUGGACUAGCAAUUUAACUAUUGUUUAGAGGAGGCUUUGUGGUUUGUGAGCGUGCGUAAUGUUGAAUUGCUUUACUUCUGUUCUUAUUGUGUUUAGGAUUUUUAUUUAGGCGUAUCUUGUUAUUCUAUAUAACCAAAUGUACAUUCCUUCUUUGCAGGGUCACCUUUUUUUCGUGAUGACACUAGGUUGCGUGCACUUCGUUUCCUGGAUCACAUGCUUGUAUGCUUUUUUAUAUUAGUUUGACAGCCAGAGGCUUAGCAAGGACAAUUAUUUUUUGUAGUAGAAUGUUAUGGAACCUUGAGUAUUCCUGCUCAAACUCUGCUUGAUUGCAGGAAAGGGAUAACAUGCAGAAGACUGAGUUUCUAAAAGCAUUAUCAGACAUGUGGAAAGAUUUUGAUCCGCGUGUCUUGCGGUAUAAGGUUUGUUUUUCUGCUUCCUUUUGUGUAAUAUGACUUUAUAACGUUGUCUGACAUACUUCUUUGUGCUGUAUGUGCUUUUAUAUUUUUUACAGAACCAAAGAACUAGAUGAUUGCAGGAAUAAUUGAUUUCAUGAUGUCUGAAGUCCCUUUUAGAUGAUUCUACAGUGAUUUUGGAUAUUUAACCAAGUUGACUCCUGGUUACCUUGUUUCACUGUGUAUUUAGACUCCAAAACAUCGCAUGAAACCGUUCUCUUGCCUUAACAUCUCUGAUAGUGCCCCCACAGAUAAAGAGGAGAAACGGAAAAAGAGAAAAGAGUUAGUAAAUAGGGUAUUGUUAAGCAGCAAGUCAUACCGAUGUUGGACAUGGAUGAGACAUUUUAAUUCCUUUUGCUGUGGAAAGAGUUUUAAUGAGAUGGCUCUUAUCUUGAUGAUCUUUGCAGGUACUUCCACCACUUUGUUCUGAGCUUCGGAAUCUGGUCAUGCAGCCAAUGAUACUUCCCAUGGUUCUUACAAUAGCAGAGUCUCAGGUACCAUUGAUGCUAAUGCCUGCAAAUCUUGAUCCAUAUGCCCAUGUUCAAUGACAAAAUAAGGAGCCUUCAUUUUUGAGCCUGAACUUGAACAUGGCCAAACAGUUGACUUUUGCCUGUGUGUUUAAUGUGUUCCCCAUGUUGCCAGCUAUGUUAAAUCUUCUGCUGUUCGCUGUGAAAGAUGUUAAGCUACAUUUUAUUCUUAUUUCUUUUUAUAUUUCAAGUAAAAUAUUGAUAGAGAUUCAUAUGGUUUAUCACAUUGAUAAGAUAAGCUUCUCAGUGCCAUGCUGUCAACAAGUUUAGAUCUGGAAGGUUUUGAGAUUUAUGAAAAAGUUGGACUUCAUUAAACAGAAUGGCAGGGUAGUCUAGGAUUAGUUGUUGAAAGAAAGUCAUAGUAUUCAAGGAAAAAAGUUAAAAGUCUCUUUGCAGUCCUUUAGUCAUGCAUGAUUCGACCAAAUUGGUUUCCAGAAAGAUUAAUUCAGGGAAUACUCUAGCAUGUGCAAUGUAAAGAAUUUCACUUGCACUCUUCACAAAGUCUAUAGCAUUUCCUGCAAUGGUUCGCAUAAGCUCUCACAGGCGAGUUUGAAAUGAGUGUUUCUUUUGGUUUAAUAUGUCAUAUAGAUUAAAGAGGUGAUAAAAUUGAGGACCUUCCAAGAAUGCUGUGUCUGGAUAUCAUGUUCAGGUUUUUCUGCCAAUGAAGCAAAACAUCUUAACAAAAUCGAUUAUUUGAAGACAUAUGUUAACUCAGUCUACUCCAGACCAAUGGGCUCUGGUUGAUGUGAUUUCUCCUACUACUAUUUUUUAUCAAGAUAUGUUGUGCAGUACCAUUUUGAAACGCUUAUAAUUUACGAAAAUUAACAAUGAUAUUGUGGCAUUAUGAAACUUUUUUGUUUUAUUAUUCGUUUGCUUACUGCACAACCCUUGCCUCAGGCUCUGAUUGCUGGGUCAUAGAGAAAUGAUUAUCUUGCUUGUUCGUGUGGACCAUAUUAUGAUAUUGUCUGAUAAAUGUGAAGUUUGGUAGGAGAUAAUUAUGAAACUUGUAUAUCACAUAAUUCGUAGAUUUAUGUGUAUAAGAAUUUUGCAGGACAAAAAUGAUUUUGAGCUGUCUACUCUUCCAGCUCUUGUUCCUGUCCUAAAUAGUGCUGCAGGUGAGACAUUGUUGCUACUUGUGAAGCAUGCCGAGCUUAUUAUCAAUAAGGUAACAGAGAUAGCUUUGAAGAACUUCUGCUAAUGCAAGAAAUUGCUUUUGGAUGUCCUGUUUUUCUUUUGGUCAAUGCCUUUACAUUUUCUCUUUGUUAAUUUCUUAUCAUAGAAUUUUUUCCUUUUAGGUUCAUAUCAACUUAAUGAUUAGGAGAUAAAUCUGAUUUGUUUAGUAAAAUGUCUUUAAUUCGUAUGCAGAAAUUGGUAAUUAACUAAUUGUUCUUGGGAAUCUAUAUUAGUUGUAAGAGUGGUUCACUUUAUGGUAGCUCUUUGUGAUUUUUAUGUAUUACUCAAUUAAAGGAGACUGCCAUAUGUGUUUGUUUAUUUAGAACUUGAUAAGCCCUUGCCUGUGAAAAAUUUUAGUUUGUCUGAACUAGUUCUGUUAUGCCAUUUAAUGUACAAAUGGCUAUUAUCUGUUUUGAAGUGUUAGUUUUGAGGUUCAGAAAAAGUGACAAUUUAAGCUCAGUGCAGCAGGCUUCACCCGAAAAGAUAAUCAAGCUGUGGGAGUUGGUCAUUUUUUGUGUACUUGUAGAUUUACAUGCAAGGAAAAAAAAAAUCAACCUGUGGGAAAAGGGGAAAAGAUCAAGCUGUGGGAGUCGGUCAUUUUAUGUGUACUCGUAGGUUUACAUACAGAAAACUUGAAGUUCAGUUCCUAUUCCCGUCACUCCUGACACCACUCAAUUAAAGUUGUCUUUGCUGGGAUUGUUUUAUGUCAUGGUGUUGAUAAUUUUCCUAGAAGCAUUGAUUGAUUACUUGGUAGUUGGUAUGGAAUUAGGGGUAUUGAUGCAAUUGCUGUAAGUUUUCUUAGUGAGUAUUAAGGUGCUGCUUUAACUUGCCUAAUUGGACUUGUUUAAGUGGAUGGAUUAGUCUGGUGAAUUAUCUUCAUUUCUCCCAAUCCUUUUGGGGAGUGUCUGAAUAAUAUUUAGUCCAGUGAUGAAAUGGGCGUUGAUUAUUGGAUGUGGAGUUAUUCUCAAAGCAUUGAACCCUUGUAGUUUUACAUGCAAAAGCUAUUUUGGUCUUUCAUUUUUGCUUAUAAUUCUGUUUUAUCCGUCUAUGAUGUAAUGAAAAUUUCCAAGAAACUCCUCCCAGUAGCUGCAUUGUGAUUGUAGUGCUUUCUGGUCGUUGGUUUAUAUAUACUUUUAGGUGUCCACUAAUAAAGUUUGACUUGGCUAUGGUGUCCUAGACUAUGACUGGGAACAUGUAAUAAUAAAUUCUAGCUGAGCUGGCUUUGGAAGGGAUUUGAAAUGUAGCUCUCCAGUACAUUAGAAUUCAUAAAUGGUAAUUUUCCAAAUGGUUUCAUGGGAAAGCCUUAUCCUGCCUUUCAAGAGUGAAUCCAAUUUUGGGACUAUUACUAGUAAUGUCUAGACUGGAAAAUUUGAAACGAAAGUAUUUUGGUGAGAGGAUUUUAUUCUCGAAAGUAGUUGUUUCUGUUCCAUCCUCAUUUUUAAAUGAGAAGAAGAUACUGUGAGAAAUUUAGUUGAACUAAUUACAAUUAAAAUGCUUUCCACUUGCAGUUUUGGUUUAUUGUUGGUUUAGAUAACCAUUGUGUUUUAAACUCUCUGUUUUUUUCUUUGCCUUGUUAUUAAGCUGCUAAGUAGUUAAAAGAUGGGUUAUGACCAUGGCUUAUACUCAUUUAACUAGCAAUUUUUACAUGUUUUAUCAGGCUAGUCAUGAGCACUUGAUUUCCCAUGUUCUACCGAUGCUUGUUCGAGCUUAUGAUGACACUGAUGCUCGUAUGCAAGAGGAAGUUCUGAAAAAGACUGUAUCGCUUGUUAAGCAGCUUGAUGUUCAGGUAAUUGGCAAGUGCAUAGCCAUUCUUAUUAUUUAGUGUGUGUUAGCUUAGUGCUUCUCAAGACCCUUUUUUCUUGUCAAUUUGGAUAUUCAUGUGUAUCUUUUGCAGUAGCAAACUUGUAUUGUGUUGUUAUCAUAUAAUUUACAGUUUAGGGAUGGCAGACUAGUUUUAGCCUGAUGUCUUGGUCCUCUAAUAAUUUCUUAAUGAAUCAUAGCCUUUAAAUGGCAAGAUUUCUGGAGUGUUUUCGUUUCUAUUCUUGCACUGAUGAUUAGUAAGUGGUGAGCUCUGAGAAUAUUAGGCUUAAUGAUAAGUUUUCUCGAUUGUUCAGGAGGAUAUAAUUGGUUUGGUGUGAAGAUAUAAAUGUCUCACUUGCUACAGGAUAGUGUACUCAUACGUCUUCUUGAUGUCCAUCUUUUCUGGAUAUUUGCUUCUUAGUGAUAAUGUGAUUCAGCCCUGGAUAUUCUUGUCCUUUAAUGGUCUUCCAAUGAUUCUUCAUAGUUCUCCUCAAGCACAUCUCUACAGCACCUGAAAACCGACCAUAAUGGUUUGGUGGUUGUAGCAUAUUGCAACUAUCAUUGUCUGUUAUUUUUGAUUUUAGAAUAGCAUUAGCUAACCUAUCUGCGUUG
Molecule: long non-coding RNA, 14828 nt
Filed under: Coffea arabica (coffee)
Lineage: Eukaryota; Viridiplantae; Streptophyta; Magnoliopsida; Gentianales; Rubiaceae
Description: long non-coding RNA (CARA_LNC007246)
Source: RNAcentral